CGGUCCGUGCCAACACCACGGACUAAUGACUGUACUCGCAGAAGAAGCACCGGCUAACUACGUGCCAGCAGCCGCGGUAAUACGUAGGGUGCGGGCGUUAAUCGGAAUUACUGGGCGUAAAGCGUGCGCAGGCGGCUCCUUAAGUCAGAUGUGAAAUCCCCGGGCUUAACCUGGGAACUGCGUUUGAAACUGAGGGGCUUGAGUGUGGAAGAGGGGGGUGGAAUUCCAGGUGUAGCAGUGAAAUGCGUAGAGAUCUGGAGGAACACCGAUGGCGAAGGCAGCCCCCUGGGCUAACACUGACGCUCAUGCACGAAAGCGUGGGGAGCAAACAGGAUUAGAUACCCUGGUAGUCCACGCCCUAAACGAUGUCAACUGGUUGUCGGGGAAGCAAUUCCUUGGUAACGAAGCUAACGCGUGAAGUUGACCGCCUGGGGAGUACGGCCGCAAGGUUA
RNAcentral lists this ribosomal RNA (452 nucleotides) under uncultured Pseudomonadota bacterium. RNAcentral's name for it is "bacterial SSU rRNA". It matches the Rfam family "Bacterial small subunit ribosomal RNA", at positions 452 to 896 of the family's 1533-position model. Lineage: Bacteria; Pseudomonadati; Pseudomonadota. The record is from RNAcentral.